Molecule: transfer RNA, 66 nt
Filed under: Dinorhynchus dybowskyi
Lineage: Eukaryota; Metazoa; Arthropoda; Insecta; Hemiptera; Pentatomidae
Description: tRNA-Thr
Source: RNAcentral
GUUUUAAUAGUUUAAAUAAAAACAAUGAUUUUGUAAAUCAUAAAUAGGUUAUACACUUUUAAAACU